This 68-nucleotide transfer RNA is filed under the name Batrachomoeus trispinosus (three-spined frogfish). Its description in RNAcentral is "tRNA-Glu". Lineage: Eukaryota; Metazoa; Chordata; Actinopteri; Batrachoidiformes; Batrachoididae. The record is from RNAcentral.
GUUUAAAUAGUUAAAUAAUAACAAUGAUUUUUCAGGUCAUCGUUUUAGGUGAAGACCUAAUUUAAAUA